RNAcentral lists this small nuclear RNA (107 nucleotides) under Tursiops truncatus (common bottlenose dolphin). Lineage: Eukaryota; Metazoa; Chordata; Mammalia; Artiodactyla; Delphinidae. The record is from RNAcentral. RNAcentral also lists the same sequence under 1 other name.
GUGCUCACUUCAGCAGCACAUACACUAAAUUUGGAAUGAUACAGAGACGAGUAGCAUGUCCCCUGUGCAAGGAUGACACGCAAAUUCAUGAAGCAUUCCAUAGUUUU